UACGUAGGGUGCAAGCGUUGUCCGGAAUUAUUGGGCGUAAAGAGCUCGUAGGCGGUUUGUCGCGUCUGCUGUGAAAACUCGGGGCUUAACCCCGGGCCUGCAGUCGAUACGGGCUAGCUAGAGUGUGGUAGGGGAGAUCGGAAUUCCUGGUGUAGCGGUGAAAUGCGCAGAUAUCAGGAGGAACACCGGUGGCGAAGGCGGAUCUCUGGGCCAUUACUGACGCUGAGGAGCGAAAGCGUGGGGAGCAAACGGG
This 253-nucleotide ribosomal RNA is filed under the name uncultured bacterium. RNAcentral describes it as "partial 16S ribosomal RNA". It matches the Rfam family "Bacterial small subunit ribosomal RNA", at positions 524 to 776 of the family's 1533-position model. The record is from RNAcentral.